GCAAGACUUUCCAUUUGCUUUAGAGUAAAGGGGAGGAAGCAACACUUGCCUGUCAGCCUGUCCUCUACCACCGUCUGCAGAAUAAACUGAACUCUAAGUCACCAUUAAAGAGAAGGAGUGAAAGGUAAAGAGAGAACGGGAGAGAAAGGGAAAUGCUCUCUGGCUUAUUCAUACAUUAGCUCUCCGCAAAGGCACAAAGCAGAAGGAGCAGCAUCAGCAACCUUGCAAGCAGUGACUUUAACUAUUUCUAAUUAAUACGAUCUGAGCUACUUUGAGAAGCCAAUUUAUUACUUACGCAUACAAGCUUGAGCUUUGCUGAAAACUGGAUGUGCCACGCACACCUUUGCUUCUGAUUUAUACAUAAAGACUUGCAUCUUUCACAGAAUAAACCUUAUCAGGAGAGAUUCAACUGAGGCAGGCAGCAUCCUCAUUUGCUGGUGGUGGAUCCCAAGGACCACUCCCCCAGUGGGAACGGC
Molecule: long non-coding RNA, 476 nt
Filed under: Coturnix japonica (Japanese quail)
Lineage: Eukaryota; Metazoa; Chordata; Aves; Galliformes; Phasianidae
Description: lncRNA (ENSCJPG00005008742.1)
Source: RNAcentral